GCCCGGCUGGCUCAGUCAGCAGAGCAUGAGACUCUUGAUCUCAGGGUUGUGGGUUCGAGCCCCAUGUUGGGUA
This is a non-coding RNA of Prionailurus viverrinus (fishing cat), 73 nucleotides long. Lineage: Eukaryota; Metazoa; Chordata; Mammalia; Carnivora; Felidae. The record is from the annotation of a RefSeq genome assembly.